Molecule: ribosomal RNA, 426 nt
Filed under: uncultured Bifidobacterium sp.
Lineage: Bacteria; Bacillati; Actinomycetota; Actinomycetes; Bifidobacteriales; Bifidobacteriaceae
Description: bacterial SSU rRNA
Rfam family: Bacterial small subunit ribosomal RNA
Source: RNAcentral
UUGCGGCAUGGGAUGGGGUCGCGUCCUAUCAGCUUGUUGGCGGGGUGAUGGCCCACCAAGGCGUUGACGGGUAGCCGGCCUGAGAGGGUGACCGGCCACAUUGGGACUGAGAUACGGCCCAGACUCCUACGGGAGGCAGCAGUGGGGAAUAUUGCACAAUGGGCGCAAGCCUGAUGCAGCGACGCCGCGUGCGGGAUGGAGGCCUUCGGGUUGUAAACCGCUUUUGUUCAAGGGCAAGGCACGGUUUCGGCCGUGUUGAGUGGAUUGUUCGAAUAAGCACCGGCUAACUACGUGCCAGCAGCCGCGGUAAUACGUAGGGUGCGAGCGUUAUCCGGAUUUAUUGGGCGUAAAGGGCUCGUAGGCGGUUCGUCGCGUCCGGUGUGAAAGUCCAUCGCCUAACGGGGCAUCGUCGCCGGGUACGGGCGG